UACGUAGGGCGCAAGCGUUUAUCCGGAAUUAUUGGGCGUAAAGAGCUCGUAGGCGGUUUGUCGCGUCUGCCGUGAAAGUCCGGGGGCUCAACUCCGGAUCUGCGGUGGGUACGGGGCAGACUAGAGUGAUGUAGGGGAGACUGGAAUUCCUGGGUGUAGCGGUGAAAUGCGCAGAUAUCAGGAGGAACACCGAUGGCGAAGGCAGGUCUCUGGGCAUUAACUGACGCUGAGGAGCGAAAGCAUGGGGAGCGAACAGG
Molecule: ribosomal RNA, 257 nt
Filed under: uncultured bacterium
Lineage: Bacteria
Description: partial 16S ribosomal RNA
Rfam family: Bacterial small subunit ribosomal RNA
Source: RNAcentral